AACUUUCCCGCGAACCUGAAGUUACCAUGGGGCGGGAGCCACCUUAGCGCCGCGUCCGCCCGCCCCUCGCACCGGCUAGGAUGCUGCGGAAGGCAGGGGCGCCGAGAGGCAAGGGUGAAAGACGCCGUCCAUACCCCCAAAGCCCGAACCUGCAUCUCCUCUGCGAGGCGCAGGGCGGGAGGACCGCUGCAGUUGGGAGCCGGCUCCGGACAGGCAAAGCGACCCGACAGGUAACCUUCCACAGGCCCACACAUGUGUUAUCAGCCAUACCUUAGGACAGAAGGAAUGAGUUUGCAGAAAGGAUGCUCUUCAGAACUCAUGAAGACAUAAGGUGCUUCAAAAGAGGAGACUUUCGGAACAUGAGCAGGGAAAUUGUCACUUGAUAGAUGACAAGCAUUGUGAGAAACAACAGUUUGCCUUUCUUCAUUCCCUUCCUGGUUAUCUUUCCUGUCACAUGAAGAAGAAAUGAAACACCAGAGAGAAUCAGGUUAUCAUCAUCUACACCAGCCACUGUCACUGGCCUUCAAAGUUCAACCUCCCUGGAACUCCAGAACUCCCCACUUUAUAAGAUGAAUGGCUAAUUGGAUCCUAGUACAUAAGGAAACACUGGCAAAAUAGCGCCCUACAACCAUACUGAGAAUUUAGCCCUGGGGACAUCUUCCGAUAUAAUCUGGCAUAGAAGAGUGGUUAUCACACCUUUAGCAUGGGACCCUUGAGACACCUUUGCUGUGAAUAAUGGAGAAGCAAAAGGAGUUACUAAUGAAGACAAACUAAACCUGAGAACAGAGAGAGCCUAACUAUGUGCUCCAGAAGUGCCAUGUGUGUCUAAGGUAGGUCCAAAGGUAUGAGUCUAGAGAUAUUAUGUAUAAAACACCUAAUUGAAUGUCAAAAAAUCCAUAGAAGCUUAAUAAUUGGUAGCAAUUAUUAUUACUCAUUAGUGUGGGGGCUGGGAAGAUGACAACAGAGUAUAACUUGGAGGGUUGGUGUAGAGCAAUUAGCUAGCAACUGUAGUUUGAAUUUCCAUGAAGUAGUUCCCUUAAUUGUGUACACACAAACACAUCAAAACUGAAACCACAGCUAUGUGAUUUAAUAAUGUUGCACGUUUAGACAUGAUACAAGGCACUUUUGCCUACAUUAUCUUUCUGUGAGUUUAACAUUAGACCUGGUAUAAUUAUCCUAAAUUUACUACUAGAGAAUUUAGUUUGAAAAGUCAUGCAACUUUUCUAAAGAAUUUUUUCUGAUUUAAUAACACCAAUCAAUGAAUUAAUCAAUCAACUGUUCUGGCCAUUAAAUGUGUGAGAAAAAAAAGUCAGUGUAUUAAUUAUAAUUAUAUACCGAGACUUGGCUCUGUGUGUUUCACAAAAUAAGUAUAAAGUAUCAAAUUUGUUAUAAAUGUGUGACCCAUUAAAAGAAAAAAAAACUUGAUAGAUGUGUAUUUGGUAACAGCUUUUUAGAAAAUUUUUUGAACAUUUAUGAUGUUCAGAAAAGAACAGUGAUCAGUGUGCUAAAUUAAAUUACUUGAAUAAAUUAUGGAGAAAAAGUUCUGAUUUUUGUGCAAGGUUUGCAUUCUGGAUUGAGGUCCAGUUCUUUUUGAAGUAUCUGAAAUCAAACAUAUAUUUCCAAACCCUGAGGACUGAUUUCCUUCUGAAGACCACCCUCUCUUCUAUUUGAGGAACUCCAUAUUCCUUCUUGUAACACUACUCUGAUUCUAUAUCAAGCAAUCUUGGCCUUGUUAAGAUAAGAAAGUUGCCUUAAGCACUUUCCAAAGCUUUCCUACAUUCACUGUUGGUGGAUGGUGUCCCUACCCUACUUGUUCCCCUGCAGAACCUCAGAUUGGAGAUAUAAGGGGUGAAAUAACAGCCAAGUACCUCAGAGCUAAGUACUUUACAUAUAACUCAUUUAAUCCUCACAGCAUUGCUAUGGAACAAGUACUAUUAUUCAUCCCAGUUUACAGAUAGAAACUAAGGCAGAGAAAGGUUAAAUAAUCAAAGUUUACCUACUAGAUAACAGAGUGGGGGUAGAAACCAAGCCAUUCUGGCUUUUCCUGCUUGUAACACCAGGGUGGUAAAGGUGAAAAUUUGGGUUCAUUCUCACAGAGAAGAGGUUAUUAAGGCUCAGACUGGACAGAUAGCAUGGGAAUGAUGAGCAAGCAGGAAAUUUAAGAGUCAGAUCUUAGAAAAAUAUGACAAAGCCUAGAGACUGGCAACUGACAUGAUCUGAGAAAAGUGAGGAGGCCAGUGUUCCUUGUUUGGAAACAGGAGGAAUAAUGGGACCACUGGUUGAAAUGGAGUGCAAAUGUCUUAUAAGAAAAGGAAAAAAAUGACACCAACUUGACCCUCAAGUAUAUUUUGAGUAUAUUCUAUUUCUCUUUUCAUUAGAAGAAAUUUAAUUUGAGAAAUGAAUAGAGAAAGAAAGGGGAAAGGAGAAUGUUUCAAAGAAUAAGGUUAAAGUCAUCACAGCUUGACAGCAAUCUAAAAGUCAAAAAGUAUGCCAGAAUAGCAGGUAUUUGAGACCCACUGUUCGAAACAAUUUUAUUUUAAACACAUGUGGUUCCUUAAUGAUACUGGUAGCAUGGUGGUUGUGCAGCCCGCCUUUAGCAGGAAGUGCUGAUUUGCUUAAUUCUAUUAAGCCUAUAAGAAAGGUAAAUCUGUCUCCUGAACUUAAGGGGCCUCUGCUCUAAAGUAAGUUUGACAUUGGCCAAUAAUCACCCUGACAUUCUUGUGGCUUUGGCUGCUCUUGAAGCUGCUGAAUUGCACCAAGAGAAGAGGCUGAGUGAGAAAGCCUGGUUAUAGCAAUGGCCCAUCCUGUCAGUGCUGGGAGUGGGUACUAUACUCAAAGCAGUAUAAAUACAGAUGCUGCACAUUAUGCUCUGCUAUGCUGGCUGCCUUUGGGAUGAUUGUUGGGAAAGUUCUUGAAGCCAGUGGUGUUAGAGGGGACAGUGUGCUUCUUGAAACAAAAGAGUUGAUGGUGAGAAUGGUCUUUGAAAACUGUACUCUUUACAAAGGUGAACUCUGCAAACUGGGCCUACUGAAAGAAAUAGGGAUUCUAUUUUCAUUACUGUUUUAUCAUCAAAAUACCAUAAGGCCUGGCCCUUAGCAAAUAGUCCUUAAAUAUCUGAUACCAUUAGAAGCUUGCUUCUAUGAAGGGUGAUCACCCAUCCCAGUUUGCGUGGGACAGUCUUAGUUUACAUUAUUGUCCUUGCAUCCUGUUCAGCUGGUAUAUAUCCAAGUCUCUUAAUUUUUAUUCAAGUAUUAUUAUUAAUAGUUGUACAAAAAUAAGUCAGAAUAAGUUUGGUAGACCUCUACUUUAUUUCCAGCUUCUGUCAUUUUCUUCCUGGUAGUAGGUAUGAGACAUAUAUACAUGGAAAGAUAAUCAGCAGUAGCCUAUCUCUCUCCCUUUAAUUUUUUAAAGAACUUUCCAGAUUCAAGAAUGGACAAGGCACUCAGUUAUGAGCAACAAAUUCCUUUUGUCUUGGAGAUCAUGGAAGAAGUAUUAGAUGCUGCUCCCCUUAGUGUAACAGCCAGUUUUGUUGCAGCCUGUGGGGCCUGCAAGCUACACAAAACCACCAGGAUCCUAGAAGAGUCACUAGGAAACGUAGAGUAUUAUAGCUAGAUAAACAUCAUCACAUAUGUGUAAAAGAUAGAGACUGAACAGUCCAGUCUUAAAAUGUAUAGCAAAGUAGUUUGAAUGCUCUUGUUACAGUGAUUUUGUCAUCUACCAAUUUUAAGUGUGUAGUGAUUUAUCUAUCACAUUAUUUGGCAAUACUUUCUGAAUUUUGCAAUACAUGCAACAAUGACCUAAAAAAUGAAAGUGCAUGUUUAAUUUAAAAAUUAAAAGUAAAGCCAGGCGCAGUGGCUCACACCUGUAAUCCCAGCACUUUGGGAGGCUGAGGCGGGCGGAUUACCUGAGGUCGGGAGUUCAAGACCAGCCUGACCAACAUGGAGAAACCCUGUCUCUACUAAAAAUACAAAAUUGACUGGGCGUGGUGGUGCAUGCCUGUGGUCCCAGCUACUUGGGAGGCCGAAGCAGGAGAAUUGCUUGAACCUGGGAGGCGGAUGUUGCGGUGAGUGGAGAUCGCGCCAUUGCACUCCAGCCUGGGCAACAAGAGCAAAACUCUGUCUCAAAAAAAAAAAAAAAAA
This 4139-nucleotide long non-coding RNA is filed under the name Homo sapiens (human). Its description in RNAcentral is "HSALNT0336794". The record is from RNAcentral. Lineage: Eukaryota; Metazoa; Chordata; Mammalia; Primates; Hominidae.